AUGACGCCGAUGAAAAUUUUGGUUCCUUUGGAUAUUCCUGUCAGCUCUGUGAAAGUGUUCCUUAAAAUCACCCUCUAUAUGCAGGAAAGAUGCCACCUGUGUUCGCAAUGGGAUCUUCCACUAUUUAGCAAGUCUUUGCUGAAUGAGUCAUCAAAGCCGGCUGGUAUUGGCUGGCCUGGUGAGUACCCAAGGGAUUGCCUGGUAGAGGCUGCGAGGCCUUGCUUCAUUCACAGAAAUGUGAGGUUGCUAGCCAGCCCUUCCAUUCACACACUCUCAUUCACAUUUUGCAGUUUUGCUAGCGGCUUCUAAUGAAGAGAGCCAUUUGGGAGUGAUAGGGUUUUCUGGGCAAUUGAGACAAGUAAAAUUAGGCUAUGAUAUGCAUAUUUGCUGUUGCUAUGCUAGGAGGAUGAAGAGAGGAACAAAUACUGUGAGGAUGCUGUAGCAGGUUGGCAGUGUGAUGGUGAGAGGCUAUUCCACAGAUCACUAGAAACACUGACACUGUCAUUAUUCAUCACUGCGGGGAUAAGAGGUGCUGAUUUAAUUUAAUGGCAUAAAUAUAGUAAUUAAGUAACUGUAUUUAAGCUGUUUUGUUGUAUUCGAAUACUGUAGCCUUUAUUAAGGGAGAGAGAAGGAAUACCGCAGGACUUUUCCUUUAAAAUUUUCUGCAGUUAUUCGUCUGUUCAAAGAAGAAUGCUAUAUACUGCAUUUUUGUAUGUCUAAAAGAUGUUUUGAAAAGAAGGUCGGUUUAUAGAAAAGAGCUGUGUGGCUUGUGGUGAGCACUGUAUUUCACAAUGCUGUAUACACUCUGCAUUUUAAAAAGAACAAAAAAGAGAGAAAAAUGAAGUAACUGAUUUCUUCAUGUUUUUCUCCUCCCCCGGUCAAGUGCUUGUGGUUGAUAUUUAUGCUUAAUAAGAAUUGGUGUAUUCUUAUAUUCUUCACUGCAGGACAAUAGUGAAAUGAUGCAUGGACUUUUGACUAUUCCCCUUGCACUUCUCAGUUUUUCGGAAUUACAGCAAAUAUUCUAGGGAAUGGCAUAUCUAUUUCACAUUUUUUCUUCAGAGUGAAUAUCAGUGAUGAAAGAAAAAGCAUCUCUUAUGCCUGUUAUUGGACAUCAGAAAAAUACUCACUUCACACAUCGGUACUUUAUAUAAUCCUGCAUUAAAACAUAAGGUUGCUGUGAGGUAGGGGAGAAGGAUUGCUUUCUCUGUAAAAAAUUGGAAGUGAGAAUUUAUGUGAGAAAUAGCAUUGACACAAAAGCUUGUAAAAUCUGCUAGACUGCUUUUUGUGAAGGAAAAUAGUGUAUUUUCUUUAUUUCUGUCAUCUGUUUUUGAAAUGCUUAAAGGUAUUCUGAAAACCCUUUAAGGUAUCUGUGUUUUGCUUGUGGAAAGAGAAGGGAAUGUAUAUGUGUAUAUAUUAUCUAGAUAUUUGCUUUCUAAUUGUAUCUUCUUUAUAGAUUCACAAAUAUGUGAGGUGAAAGAACAGUUAAACAGAAGAAUAAAGUGUGGUGUUUUAUAAAGGCUGUUAAUUCUUUUUAAAGGUAAUUGCCUUUGGUAUGAAAAGGAGUGGAGGGGGGAGGGUGGAAUAAAGUGUUAGAAGGAAAUAUCUGUUUGAGAAGAGAGGAUAAGGAAAUUUGAGAAUUGAUUGGUGCUAGUGUGCUGUAAGUGGGUGGGUUUUUUAUUUUUUUUUAUUUUUAUUUUUAUUUUUUUUUGCUACAGGAAGUGAUUUGCAGUGCUCACUGAGCCUUUUGUUGAAAAGGGUCCUUCUCAUUUGUGUGAGUCAUGCUUCUGCUGUGAGCGAGUUGGCAGCUCUAAGCAGGACUGUGAUCUCUGUUAUAGAAAACUGUUACUUCACCUAACCUUAAAGUGGAACCACAAGAAAUAUCUUAAAAUUAUAUAUUUUUUGUUCUUCCUUAUAUUGUUUGCUUUUUUACCUCAAAAUCUUGUUCUCUGCCUGUGUUGCUAUGAAUCGCCUGCUAUGUUAGCACGGGCAUCUCCUGCAUUGGCAUCACAUUUGCCAGAACAUAUGC
Long non-coding RNA from Meleagris gallopavo (turkey), 2026 nucleotides. The record is from Ensembl. NCBI's taxonomy places the organism in Eukaryota, Metazoa, Chordata, Aves, Galliformes, Phasianidae.